ACCGGCAGCUAGCUCUCUGCAACUCUCACAUGGUCACCCACUGAAAGUAAGCAGGGCUGCGCCCAGUCAGUACCUGGAUGGGAGGCUACAUAGGAAAGCUAGGUUGCUGCUGGAA
This 115-nucleotide ribosomal RNA is filed under the name Danio rerio (zebrafish). Lineage: Eukaryota; Metazoa; Chordata; Actinopteri; Cypriniformes; Danionidae. The record is from RNAcentral.